AGAGUUUGAUCCUGGCUCAGAGCGAACGCUGGCGGCAUGCUUAACACAUGCAAGUCUCACGGGCAGCAAUGUCAGUGGCGGACGGGUGAGUAACGCGUAGGUAUCUAUCUCUGGGUGGGGGACAACUGUGGGAAACUACAGCUAAUACCGCAUGAUAACUGAGGUUUAAAGGCGCAAGUCGCCUGGAGAGGAGCCUGCGUACGAUUAGCUAGUUGGUGGGGUAAAGGCCUACCAAGGCGACGAUCGUUAGCUGGUCUGAGAGGAUGAUCAGCCACAUUGGGACUGAGACACGGCCCAAACUCCUACGGGAGGCAGCAGUGGGGAAUAUUGGACAAUGGGCGCAAGCCUGAUCCAGCAAUGCCGCGUGUGUGAAGAAGGUCUUCGGAUUGUAAGGCACUUUCGACGGGGACGA
RNAcentral lists this ribosomal RNA (412 nucleotides) under uncultured bacterium. Its description in RNAcentral is "bacterial SSU rRNA". It matches the Rfam family "Bacterial small subunit ribosomal RNA", at positions 8 to 448 of the family's 1533-position model. The record is from RNAcentral.